RNAcentral lists this ribosomal RNA (252 nucleotides) under uncultured bacterium. RNAcentral describes it as "partial 16S ribosomal RNA". It matches the Rfam family "Bacterial small subunit ribosomal RNA", at positions 524 to 776 of the family's 1533-position model. The record is from RNAcentral.
UACGUAGGUCCCGAGCGUUGUCCGGAUUUAUUGGGCGUAAAGCGAGCGCAGGUGGUUUAUUAAGUCUGGUGUAAAAGGCAGUGGCUCAACCACUGUACGCAUUGGAAACUGGUAGACUUGAGUGCAGGAGAGGAGAGUGGAAUUCCAUGUGUAGCGGUGAAAUGCGUAGAUAUAUGGAGGAACACCGGUGGCGAAAGCGGCUCUCUGGCCUGUAACUGACACUGAGGCUCGAAAGCGUGGGGAGCAAACAGG